GGGGCCGUCCCCUCCCCGUCACCGCUGCACCCGCUGCUCUUGAUUAAGUUUCUCUUGCAGCUCUUCCAGGAAGCCAGGGGCCUGUUGUUUUGGAGAUCGCCUUAAUUUGUUUAUUCGUGCAUAUGUUCUGUCUUGUACAACCGCGCUUCGCAGCUGGUCCCGAGCAGCCUACGGCACAGGGGAAGCAGCAGGUUAAGUUUGAACCAAAGGAAGUCGCUGAAAGCCGGCCUGACGUGUGGAUCCGAGGAUGCUGAGGUAGCUCCAUGUUUGGCCCUCCCCACCCUGUACCAGGCGAAGCUGCUGGUGGUGCUCCAUUCCUUGGAGAAGGAUCCUAACAGCUUUCCCAGAUCUCGCUGCAGUACACAAAUGGAGGCAUAUGGAGCAUCCAAACUCACCUUCAUCCAUCUUCAUUUGCCCUGGCUGUAAUGGACAGUGGCCACACAACUAUCCUCUGGAAAUCAGGAAUGCGAGACCGUAACUGCUGCUCCAUCUAUUUGAAACAGUUGCACAUAAUUGUACAAGGUUUGGACACGUUACUCCUAAUCCUGUGUGCAGCUGCCUGCGAGGGGGUCUGGCACGCCAAGGUCUGAGCGUGGAGUGUGUCGGGCACUGCGGCCGACGGAGCCAGACGGCUCCACGGGGAGGGACAGAUGGACCAGCCCUCGGGGCUGCCCUCCCCAGGGAUGCUCCGUGCCCGGGGAGGGAGGAGCAGGGGGAUUCUCCCUUUACAUGGAGCCAAGGUGCAGCUGGGUGAAGGGUGAUGUGAGGGAUGGGACUGGGUCAGCUCCUUGUCUCAGUGCUAAAUGAAAGUGUCCAUUUCUGGGUAUGAAAAGACUUCUCCAGGACUAAAAUUUGCUGUUUAUACCUGGAAUCACCAAGGAAAAGAGGUGAUUGAGUCUUCUUGAUGUACAGUUAAAACUGGAGCAAGAAUCAGAUCCUCUGAGUUUCUUUUCCUUUUCAUCUUCAGUUUGCAGUGCAGAUGGGACAUCACUCUUCCCUUCCAGCGGCUCUGCCACUGUCCCUUGUGGGUUUUAUCUCAUGUCUGAACUCAAUACAGACAUUUUCACUGACGGUUUUGUGAUAGCCUGGAGAAAAGGAGGCUCAGGGCAGACCUCAUUGCUCUCUACAACUACCUGAAAGGAGGUUGUAGCCAGGUGGGGGUCGCUUUCUUCUCUCAAGUAAUAAGUGACAGGACCAGAGAAAAUAGCCUCAAGUUGUGCCAAGGGAGGUUUAGGUUGGAUAUUAGGGAAAAUUUCUUCACAAAAGGGGUGGUCAGGUGCUGGAACAGACUGGCUGGGGAAGGGGUGGAGUCCCAAUCCUUGCAAGUGUUCAAAAGGGUGUGGAUGUGGCACUUGGGGGCAUGGGUUAGUGGUGAACCUGCGGGUGGUGCUGGGUUACUUCAAUAACCUCAGAAGGCUUUUCCAACUUUAGUGAUUUUGUGCUGCAGAAGGUAGACCCAUGGCUGGCAUAAAUCAACAGAGCACCCAAAACUUUGUUGGAGCACGCAGAGGUGGUGCUGGUGGAGGAUCUGACUCCUGUUAUUUUCGUUACUGAGUUGAAGCUGUUUCUGCAGCUCUUUGAAUGGAGACAGCCCCUCCUUCCCCAUAAUGAGGUGAAAGCUGGAGCAGUUUUUUAGCCACGCACCUGCAAGGGGGAAACAAAUGGGGAGGAUGAGCAAGCCAUGGGUGGGUGUUACUGCCUGUUAAAUACAUAACGUCGUUUGUCACUUAAGUAACCUUGAAACAGCAUUCCUUGUGCUAGAGCCGCCGCACCGGCACCGCCGUGGGCAGGGACGAGAUCAGGACAUGGUUAAGCACCCACCUGCCACCAUUCAUCAUCCAGUUAACCCCACAGCUCAACUUCCCUUCAAAACCACACGUUUUCCUCUUUUUCACUCUCUCUCCACACCUGCCUGCCACCUCCAGCCCUCAGCAUCCCUGGUUCCUGUGCUUGCAGGGAGAUGCUGGAGAGCGCCUGGGCUUUGCUCCUGCUCAUCCACCAGGGAUGUGCGUGUGGAAAGUGAGAUCAGAUGGAGGAGUGCAAGGAGCAGAAAGGUUUUAGUGCUGAUGAACUCCCAGGGAAUGCAGCACAGCAGAGGCAGAAAUGAGGCUGUGAACUGCAGAUGUGCAAGGGAUGGCAGGAAGUGCAAGAGGGGACAGUGGUGGGGGUGUGGGCACUCUUGUGUGCAUCAGGAAUAUGUCAAAUGUGUGUGCACUGAGGCUCAGGCAGGUCUAAGGGGGGAUGAGAGUAAUGCCCAGGUGAGGAGGGUCUGAUAAGUGUAUAAUUCCAGGAGUAGGGGUGUUGGUGUGUAAAUAGGAGGGGAUGGGGUUGUCCCUCCGCGUGUGUGCAGCCAGCACGGUGCAGCAAGGGCAGGGGAUCAGGCACCUGCCCUCCCCACCAUGGGCAGCACAUGGUGCAACUGGAGCAAAUUUGGCUCAGAAUCACAGAAUAUUCUGAGUUGUAAGGGAGCCACAAGGAUCAGAGUCUAACUCUUAAGUAAAUACCCCACAGAGGGAUCAAACCACAACCUUGGCAUUAUCAGCACUGUGCUCUAACUCACAUUGCCUUGCAGUGAAAAUUGCUGCUCACAGAUCUGUGUUGGGGCAAACAUCGUGUUUAUAACAUGAAAAUGAACGUGGGGUUUGAUAAUUACUUUUCUUGUUUUUCUUUUCCGUUGGAUUUCUGACUCUGCAAUUCCCAGUGCAGGAAUGCUGAUGGGCAGAUGAAAGGUUGGCUGCUGGGAGUUCUCCAGCUCAGCUUCACAGACCUAAUGCAUGUCAGCUGCUGUGCCCUGUCUCCGAAACCCUUCCUCUGUCUUGUCUUGCUGGAUGCUCUCUCUGGUUGCUGCCCUACCUCUCAAGAUAAUAACAAAGCCUCUGAAAAGGUGGAAUUUCCCUUUUCUCUUGAAUGGAGAUCAAGGGGAGAGUUGUGUCCCAACGUGCAGGAUAAUAAGCAGUGUAAGUUUACUCUCUGUCUAUACGCAGUUGUGGAAGUUGGUUGUUAUCUGUGUUUUCUGGAGGAAAUGAGCCAGUUUUGUCAGGAGAGGAGUGUUUGGGGUGAUGCUUCUGCAAGAGCUGCUGGAUCAGGGUCACAGCUUUUGAUUUGGACUCCAGCAGAAAAUGUUCCAUUUGGUACAAUUCACGAGACAAAAAUUCAUUGUUCCAAAGUUAUUUUUUUCAUUUUCCCAAGUUGAAAUCCUUUUAAACUGGGAGAAGAAAAUAGUUAUGAGUUUCAGUACUGACUCAUUUCAAAAUCUAAGGCAUCUUUUUUGAUCUAACAUUUUGGCUGAUUAAAUAGGAAACCCUUUUGUCUUACACAUUACGAAACAUCAAGGUCUCUUUUAGAUCCACUGGUGUUUUUAUUAGUCUCUGAAAUUCUUGUGGAAUAGAUAAAACAUCUCCCACCCAGCUCUGCUGUGUCAGUUAAUGUGUGAGCAAUCACAGUAUGACAUAUUCACCGAGGAGUGUAUACAAAUUGAAUCUCUACGUGUGGUUGUCAGGAAACAAAACAAGCUCAAUAUCUGAUGAUGUUUCAAAGACAAUUUUGAUUUUUUUAGCAAAGCUUUUGUGGAAAAUGUAGCAGCAAAGACAUAAAAAUUACUCCUGCAAUUUGGAAACAGGUAAACAAGAGGUAUUAAAAAUCGAUUAAAAUACUAUGUGGUCAUCCCUAGGGAUGAUUUCUCACAUGUAAACACAUCUUUGGUGAAGGGAGGAACGAGACCAGAUCCCAAUCCCCGGGGGUCUCAAAUCCCAUUGAAGUAAUUUGCAACUAGAUCAAGCUGAGUCUUCAAAUUUGAUGUAGGCACCAGCUGAGGCUGCAGAGCUCAGCAGCAGUUCAAGCAUCUUUUAUCUCCUGGGUGGUCCCUAAGUCAGAGCUCUCAUUUCCUCUUUCCCCCUCCUUUCUCAAACUAGGCAUUUGCUGAUGCCAUUGUUUAAUCCCGCCAAGGAUCUGCUCCAUUUUCCAUGCUCCGAGAUGGGUCCAAGCCGGCGUUUCCCUGGCGCAGAGCUCUGCAAAUGGAACAGGCCCUUUCCCAGCUCUCCAGUACACAGUGUGGUGGGGACACGUCCCACCACUGGUAUUCCAGAGUACAGAGAAGUUCCUGGGCUCAUCAGAGCACAGCAACACCACUGCUGUGAAGGCACAUCCACAUGGGAAACACCAACCCACAGCAAAGUGAUCCUGGGCACAUUCAGAGGGACAAACCCUUUGGGCUUUGGGUGAUGCUCAUUUCUCUACCCACUUGGUAGAUCCCUGUGAGCAGUAUGGGUGGGGAGGGGCACCAGCCUGUGAGGAGAACAAAACUGGGAGCAGAUAGGGAAAAGUUGGCUGCUUUUCUUUUCCUCCCCUGGCACAGUGGGCUCUCUCUCCGUCAUCUCUCUGCAGCCGAGCUGUGCCGGGGCGGGGGCCGGUGCUCCCUGGGCCGGUGCUGCGGGACCGUCCCCACGCCUUGGCUUUGCCAGCCCUGGGUCUUUCCAGGUCGUGAGAAAAGCAGGUCAAGCAUGUGAGCAUGUGGCUGCCUUUCAGGCACACACUGGAGAACUGUUCUAUCCAGAGAGAUUUCCCUUUAUCAUAGGGAGUUACUGGAGCGGCCAGAGCUGCAAAGCAAGGAUUUAAAAGCAUCUCUGAGUGUUGGAAUUGAGGUGAAGUCCUCCUGCUUUAGGGCACAAGCUCAACUCUAAAGGAGGGGACAAGAUGGAAAUUUUCCUUUGAGAAGAUUAUGUUAAAACUUUCAAAAAGGUGUUUGAUUUGAUAGGAGAGGAUUUGCAUCUUUGCCUGCAACAGCUGAUACCACA
Molecule: long non-coding RNA, 4793 nt
Organism: Corvus hawaiiensis (hawaiian crow)
Lineage: Eukaryota; Metazoa; Chordata; Aves; Passeriformes; Corvidae
Exons: 4
Source: RefSeq, a predicted model, not a curated record